GACGAACGCUGGCGGCGUGCUUAACACAUGCGAGUCGAACGGAAAGGCCCUGCUUUUGUGGGGUGCUCGAGUGGCGAACGGGUGAGUAACACGUGAGUAACCUACCCUUGACUUUGGGAUAACUUCAGGAAACUGGGGCUAAUACCGGAUAGGAGCUCCUGCUGCAUGGUGGGGGUUGGAAAGUUUCGGCGGUUGGGGAUGGACUCGCGGCUUAUCAGCUUGUUGGUGGGGUAGUGGCUUACCAAGGCUUUGACGGGUAGCCGGCCUGAGAGGGUGACCGGCCACAUUGGGACUGAGAUACGGCCCAGACUCCUACGGGAGGCAGCAGUGGGGAAUAUUGCACAAUGGGCGGAAGCCUGAUGCAGCAACGCCGCGUGCGGGAUGACGGCCUUCGGGUUGUAAACCGCUUUCGCCUGUGACGAAGCGUGAGUGACGGUAAUGGGUAAAGAAGCACCGGCUAACUACGUG
This 468-nucleotide ribosomal RNA is filed under the name uncultured bacterium. RNAcentral describes it as "partial 16S ribosomal RNA". It matches the Rfam family "Bacterial small subunit ribosomal RNA", at positions 28 to 507 of the family's 1533-position model. The record is from RNAcentral.